UACGAAGGGGGCUAGCGUUGUUCGGAUUUACUGGGCGUAAAGCGCACGUAGGCGGAUCGUUAAGUCAGGGGUGAAAUCCUGGAGCUCAACUCCAGAACUGCCUUUGAUACUGAGGAGCUUGAGUCCGGGAGAGGUGAGUGGAACUGCGAGUGUAGAGGUGAAAUUCGUAGAUAUUCGCAAGAACACCAGUGGCGAAGGCGGCUCACUGGCCCGGUACUGACGCUGAGGUGCGAAAGCGUGGGGAGCAAACAGG
Molecule: ribosomal RNA, 253 nt
Filed under: uncultured bacterium
Lineage: Bacteria
Description: partial 16S ribosomal RNA
Rfam family: Bacterial small subunit ribosomal RNA
Source: RNAcentral